This is a transfer RNA of Phytophthora infestans T30-4, 73 nucleotides long. It matches the Rfam family "tRNA". From Rfam's summary of the family: Transfer RNA (tRNA) molecules are approximately 80 nucleotides in length. Their secondary structure includes four short double-helical elements and three loops (D, anti-codon, and T loops). Further hydrogen bonds mediate the characteristic L-shaped molecular structure. tRNAs have two regions of fundamental functional importance: the anti-codon, which is responsible for specific mRNA codon recognition, and the 3' end, to which the tRNAs corresponding amino acid is attached (by aminoacyl-tRNA synthetases). tRNAs cope with the degeneracy of the genetic code in two manners: having more than one tRNA (with a specific anti-codon) for a particular amino acid; and 'wobble' base-pairing, i.e. permitting non-standard base-pairing at the 3rd anti-codon position. Lineage: Eukaryota; Oomycota; Peronosporomycetes; Peronosporales; Peronosporaceae. The record is from Rfam.
ACCCGUCUAGCUCAGUCGGUAGAGCGCUGGCCUAUUAAGCCAGUGGUCGUGGGUUCGGGCCCCACGGGGGGUG